This is a long non-coding RNA of Hibiscus syriacus, 511 nucleotides long. RefSeq lists it as uncharacterized. The transcript is spliced from 7 exons. NCBI's taxonomy places the organism in Eukaryota, Viridiplantae, Streptophyta, Magnoliopsida, Malvales, Malvaceae. The record is from RefSeq and is a predicted model, not a curated record.
GGCAAAGCCAAUUACCCAACUUUGAUUCUUAUAUUGUAGAAGAGGAAGAAGGUUCAGGUGGUUAUGGCACUGUGUAUAGAGCUCGAAGGAAGAAUGAUGGAGCUUUAGUUGCCCUUAAAUGUCCUCAUGCCAAUGCUCAUAAGAUCUAUGUUAACAAUGAGCUGAAAAUGCUGGAGCGUCUUGGGGGCAGAAACUUAUAAUACGAUAUGAAGGAUGUGUUAGGAGUGAGAAUUCUGAUUGCUUUGUUCUGCAGUAUGUUGAGCAUGAUAGACCUGAGGUGUUGAAAAAAGAAAUCGAUGUUUUUCAGUUAAAGUGGUAUGCUUUUUGCCUGUUCAAAGCUCUUGCAAAUCUUCAUAGACAGAGAAUAGUUCAUAGAGAUGUGAAACUAGGAAACUUUCUUUUCUCUCGUAAGACCAACAAAGGUUAUCUUAUUGAUUUCAAUCUUGCCAUGGAAAUGCAUCAAAAGUACAGGAGUACAGGUUAGUUCCUCUUUCUGGAGCUUGAAAUUUAG